This 54-nucleotide transfer RNA is filed under the name Steinernema kushidai. Its description in RNAcentral is "tRNA-His". Lineage: Eukaryota; Metazoa; Nematoda; Chromadorea; Rhabditida; Steinernematidae. The record is from RNAcentral.
AGCUCUUUAGUUUACUAAAAAUAUUUGCUUGUGGUGCGAGAGAGAUUGGAGCUU